This 253-nucleotide ribosomal RNA is filed under the name uncultured bacterium. Its description in RNAcentral is "partial 16S ribosomal RNA". It matches the Rfam family "Bacterial small subunit ribosomal RNA", at positions 524 to 776 of the family's 1533-position model. The record is from RNAcentral.
UACGUAGGGUGCAAGCGUUAAUCGGAAUUACUGGGCGUAAAGCGUGCGCAGGCGGUUGUGCAAGACCGAUGUGAAAUCCCCGGGCUCAACCUGGGAAUUGCAUUUGUGACUGCACGGCUAGAGUGUGUCAGAGGGGGGUAGAAUUCCACGUGUAGCAGUGAAAUGCGUAGAUAUGUGGAGGAAUACCGAUGGCGAAGGCAGCCCCCUGGGAUAACACUGACGCUCAUGCACGAAAGCGUGGGGAGCAAACAGG